This 784-nucleotide long non-coding RNA is filed under the name Marmota monax (woodchuck). The record is from RNAcentral. Lineage: Eukaryota; Metazoa; Chordata; Mammalia; Rodentia; Sciuridae.
CCAGGCAUGCAAGGUUGGUUCAACCUAUGAAAAUCUAUAAAUGUAAUUCAUCAUGUAAAUAGAUUGAAAGAUAAGAAUCCUGAUCAUCUCAGUAGAUGCAGAAAAAGCAUUUUACAAAAUACAGCACCCCUUCAUGUUCAAAACCCUAGAAAAACUAGGGAUAACAGGAAUAUAUCUCAACAUUGUAAAAGCUAUUUAUGCUAAGCCUGAGGCCAACAUCAUUCUAAAUAGAGAAAAUUUGAAGGCAUUCCCUCUAAAAACUGGAACAAGACAGGGAUGCCCUCUUUCACCACUUCUAUUCAACAUAGUUCUUGAAACACUGGCCAGAGCAAUUAGACAGAUGAAAGAAAUUAAAGGGAUACAGAUAGGAAAAGAAGAACUCAAUUUAGCACUAUUUGCUGAUGAUAUGAUUCUAUACCUAGAAGACCCAAAAAAUCCCACCAGAAAACUUCUAGAACUAGUAAAUGAAUUCAGUAAAGUAGCAGGAUACAAAAUCAAUACCAAUUAAUCAAAGGCAUUUCUGUACAUCAGUGACAAAUCCUCUGAAAGGGAAACGAGGAAAACUACCCCAUUUACAAUAGCCUCAAAAAAAGUAAAAUACUUGGGAAUCAACUUAACAAAAGAGGUGAAAGACCUCUACCAGUAACACUACAGAACACUAAAGAAAGAAAUAGAAGAAGACCUUAGAUGAUGGAAGGAUCUCCCUUGUUCUUGGAUAGGCAGAAUUAAUAUUGUCAAAGUGACCAUACUACCAAAAGCAUUAUACAGAUUUAAUGCAAUUUCA